CGUCGUGGUGCCCUUCAAUGCCUGGUCGAGAGAUGUCGCUUCACUCGAGCCAUCGCGUCUGCCGUGACACAUCCUUGUCAUCGAGCCGCUCGACCCCACCCCGCUUGGCCUCAUGCAGUGGCGAGCUUCAAUUUGGAGCUUUCUUCCCUGUGGUACCUUUAAUGUGAAAUUGGCCGAGCUCAGCACACUAACCCAGCCAUCUCCUUCAAAUUGAUCGCACCCACAACAUCACCUCGGUCACCACUACCCUGUGCUCGCUCCUAGUCACGCUCUACCAUGCCUCCUACAUGGCCAUCACUGGAGCGGUGCCACCCAGCCAGCCGCACGUGGCCAGCCCUGCACGCGCCAUCUCCGGCUGAGCCAUCGCUUUGGUCGGGUAGGUGGUAAGUCACUUAUGCUCUAGAGCAUGCUCUAUUGUCCACAUGACCCUUGGUCUCACAAGAACAGGCUCGGCAUGGUCGCCGGUUGCUUCCCACUCCUCCGCAUUCGUUCCUAGGUGAGCAUCGCCUCCUUAGCUUCCCCUAGCAGUCCUCUAGAUGGCCGGCGUAGCGGUCGGAUGCCAGCCAUGCCGCUUCAAAGCACACGAGCAAGGCCAGGGAUCUCCCUUUUAUGAAGAUGGGUCUUUCCAAGGUUCUUAGCGUAAAGUCGUUCUCCGUAGGAAUAGUGUCCCUUUCUGAUGCGUAGUUUAGCCAAAGUCCGAAGACGUUUCUGCAAAAUGUCCAGGGGGACGCGGGUUUUCCCGAGUGGGCCGCGUUUCUCGCGUGGGUCACUCCGUCGUGGGCCAUGUUGGACCGAAUGCCUUUAUCUUUUUUUGCAGAGUUUAAGAAAUGCUUAAAUAAUUUAGUUUCAGUGCCAGACUUGGAAAAUCAUAGAAAAUCGUGUAGAGGUCCAAAAUUAGUGAAACGAAUUUGUUGAGUUCCUAAAUUCAUGCUCUGUCUGUUAGUAUAGUUUUAUAGUACUUAUCUAUGUUGUUUUAGAGAUCAUAAAAUCGAAAUGCAUAUUUAGCUAAAUGAUUAACUUGUGGUAUGUUUUGAGGUUAAUCUAUACUAGCUAUGACCCUAAAACUUUUGCAGUAGCCUAGUUGUAAUAUUAGGAGCUUACUGUAUUUUUUUUAGCUUAAGACUAGACUGUUAACUAGUGUAGAUAAAUAUGCCUUAGGUAUAAGCUUGAAUAAUAAAGUAAAAUUUAUUAAUAAAUCAAGUGCUUGGUAAAGUUAGUGAAAUCUGUAUGAAAUACCUUGGUGGUCCAUAUAGUAUCUUAGCCAUUAGAGCUAGCUUAAUAAGGGUAGCUUGUUGUUGACACUUCUUAACGCAACCACCGGAUAUCGGCGACGGCGCCAGAAGUGCCCUGGUAGGGUAACUCUAUUUACUAUUGGAUAAUUCCGCAAGCGCACAGAAUGUACCGUUGUAGCACUUCACCAAGGAGUAUUCCAAGGUAUCGUAAUUUAUAUUUUCCCAAGGGAAAGCGGCUAAGUGUGUUUAACAAAAAGGGGAAUGAGAUUCCUUGAGUUAUCUAGUAUCAACUAGUGAAUAAGGGUGGUAAAUAACGAAUAGGAAGGGUAGUGGUGAAUCCAAGGUCCUAUGCUAAAGGUAAAUGGUAGAGUUAGCUAGGUGGGAGGACAACGAGUGAGUAAAGGACUCCUAUGUAUCUAACUUGACUUCUGUGACUUACUUUAAUAGAUAAUUGUCUUAACUACGCUAGAGCCUUACUAACUGUGUGCGAGGGAUAGCUGAGCUGGUAAGACGCUUAGAAGGUUUUUCACCUAACCCCUUACCGAAAGCGACUAUUGGGCUUAUGGACGCCUUACCUUUUAAGAACUAGCCUGUACGUGAGGAGAACCUAAUGCCGCCCACGAUCUGUCACCUACUAGGGAGUGCGCUCCUACUUUCCGUUCAAGCCAGCGGUAAUCAAAGGUAAUCUUAAGUAUGAGCACCACGCUCACACUUAAUCCUACAACGCUAACUAGUUGCAGCUAGCUAGAGCUCCUAUACAAGAUAGGACGAUGAUGCACACACAGGAGUGGUUACAGGUCACUAACUUCACUAAGACAACUAUAUUACUAAAGUAAAUGCACAACAAGACUAAAAGACUUGCACUAAGUAAGAACUCAGCAAAGUAAAGUAAGAAUAAUAUAUUAAUAAAAGGAAAGUCUUACAAAAGUAGAAAGGUACAAGAGCUAUACCAGACUCUCCAGAAGACGACUCCGGAGACCCCGAGCUUCGCUCGACUCGACUCUAACUCCCACUCUAGACUAACUACUACUCUACUUGUAUGCUUGGAACUUGUAAUGCACUUGGCCUUGGAAUUGCACACUUGAAAUGAAGGAUGGAGGCUGCCUUUUAUAGAGGGAGAUGGAGUAGGGGUUACUCCAUCGCCACGUCAUCGAUCCGCGUGACAUCUUCUCUCCACCCUUGGAUCAAACCGACCUCACAACCGCCAUUUGAUCAACGGCAGGGGCAAAUCAACAUGUGGGACAUGUGGGGAAGGUCGGUGGGAGGCCACCGACCCUGGAACCGCCUUUGAUGUGGGGUCGGGCGACCCCACUUCUGGGCCUCUGGGCCCACCAGCAGUGUCCACAGGGGUCCCUUAUGUCGGUGGACUAGGUGGCACACCUGGGUCCCACCAAAGAGGGGUCGGGCGACCCCCUACCUGUGGGCCCAGGGUGUCACCUGUUGUCCCCUCGAUCUCCUCUUGAUGAUUCUGAUGUUGGCUUUGUCAAAUAAUGUCUUUAAUUUGUUGUUCCUGCAUAAACAAGCUAAGAGUACAAGUGGAACUAGUUAUGGAUAAAAUAUGUUCAUGUCAUGUCGUUUCCCCUUGCAACCGAGGCAUGUUGACGGUGUUUUGUAUGUGGAUUUCUAUGGUAUAUCCACCGUCAACACUUGUGUGUCUCUAUAUGAGUGUCAUUGUUGCUUAGUUGCUAAGUCUUGCAUCAUCAUUGCAUACAUGUAGAGAACGAGGUGGUGGAGUACGCGUCUCCUGGCAGCCUAGAGUUCGAGGAGAUCAUCGAGGAGUACCUAGAGGUACUCGAGCCCCUAGCAACUAACACUUUUGACACCGCGCCUGCCUAAUGCAAGCCAUGGUGUAAAACCCCUAUUUUUGAUGUCACUAUAUAUAUAUAUAUAUAUAUAUAUGUCUUGUGCAUUUAUGUUGCAGGAACGAUAUGAAACCCACAUGCAUAAUAUACCUAUCCUAUGAGUCUUACUAGUACAGGAUCGAUAGCUGCUUGCAUAGGUUUAUUGGUAGCGUGGGUAACCUGCCGUUACUCACAAAGUAGGUGAAUACUACUUACUCAUGAUAAAAAGAGAAUGGAAAAUGGAGACCAGAUAGGGAUGUGGUUUGGGUACUGGUGGGUGUGAGAAGUUAUGUUCCGCGGCCACGGACUUAGCUUGGUUACACUAUUUUCUCUGUCCGUGUUGAUUGAGGAUCAUCCGUUGCUGUUGAUGGUGGUCAUUUCAUAGACUUAUUAUCCUAUGCACAUACUUGCUUAUGGGAGUGGGAAGACUUAUUACUCUCUUGCCAUGGGUUCUGGCUCUUUCCAAACCGACUGAUGGGAGGUAGGGACAGGUGGAAGUCUAAGCACCGUAGUAAGGCCAGGCCUUAUGUGCAGGGGCUUUGUAACACUUCUAGUGUUAGCCUUUCAUAUUAAGCAUUUGCAUUGCAUUAGCAUGAGCAUUAUCACAUUCAUUCAUAAGCAUCAUACCAUGGUCAUGUGUCAUUUCAUGUGAAACUUGUAUACAAAGGAUUGCUUGAAGGCUUAUAUAUGUGCAUACUUUAGUAUGACCAAUGCAAAUAGGUGUCCUUUGUCCUCACAAAUACUUUAACUAAGCUUAGAAUGUGUUUUGGAACAAUGUUCAUGUUGGAGGUUUCACUCAAAAAUGCCCCUAAGUCAUGGUAACCUUAGUUUGACCCAGUUUGACCUCCUAAACCUCUUUUCAAAGACCUUUUAUGAACUCAAUGUUAGAUACCUUGCAUGGAGGUGGACCCUCAAGAAAAGUUGUAGUAAAUUUUAUAACCUACAACAGUUGUUUUGGGGUUAUCCCACGAAAAUGUGUGGAAGAUGCUCAAAAGUGGCCAACAAGACAGAUUUGGGACUGUUUUCUAUACUUAGAAAAUUUUCUACCUAAGUCUGUUUACACAGUUUCGAAUUAGGGUACUUGGGAGCUUUGUUGUUUGAAAUCUAGGGUGAAUUAGACCAUGAUUCUUUAAGCAAAAUUGUAGUACUCAUGUAGCUCUACAGCAUGAAACAAUUGGUUAGCCAAAUGAUCAAACAAAUUAGGAGUAAAACGUCAGUGGAUAUCGAGUUUUAGUCACUGCCGAUGAUGACUGAAUCGCAUGAUUCAAUUUCAUUAGAAAAUGGUCGGCGGACACGUGUGCUACCCGUGGCAGCCAUAUGUCAACGGCGACCCUGCCUGUCAGCCCGGGUGAGUCCUCCUUGAUGCCACCACAUGCCCUAAGCGAUGGUAGCGUCCAUUUCCUCUCCCUGCCUUCUCUCUCUCACCCGCUCUCUUCCCCAGCAAGCUCUGCCGCGCAACGGCGACCUCACCAGGGCUCCUCGCCGUGGCUCCAGCCAAGCCACCCCGCCAAAAGCUUCGCCUGAGUGUCCUAUACCUCGGCAUCACCUCCAUUGCCAACCAAGCUCAGGUGAUGUGGCAUUGCCGAGCUCUGCACGGAUUCAUCCUCGCUGGAUAUCCGCCGAGCUCACCGGCAACGUGGCUAGAGCUCUCUGGUCCACCAUUUCUUCUCAUUCUUGUCCCAAUAGCUUCCUCUUGACUCACUGAUGCUCGGCGUGAACCUCAACUGCAUCGACAUCGACUGAGCAUGCUGGCGUAUCGCCCGUAGCACUGCCGAGCUGCCAUUGGCACCGGCGAGCACUCUAUAGCUCGGUAGAGUUAGGGAAACUUACCUCAUUAGGUCCGCCUUGAGAGGAACACAACAAUGCCCUUGGUUUCCACCGAGACAUGGCCGUCAUUGAGUUUCGCCGGUGACGAGCUCAUCUCUGCUUCUUGUGUCACUUUCGAGUGGGUCCCGCUGACCUGUGGGGUCCCCUCGUCAGUCCCUCUCUAUCUCUGUUUUGAUUUUGGCAGAUUUGUUGCUGUUUUUGUAAAAUCAAUAUCUGGAGUUUGGCCGAUCCAAAUUGGGUGAUUCAAAUUUUGUCAUGUUCUCGAGACAGUCUAGUUGUUAAUAAAAAUAUGAAACAUGCCAUGUGUUUAUAGAAAUAUUUAGUUAUAAAUUAUCGCUUUUAUUCCUUGAAUAUUAUUUUGCUAAUUAUGCCUUGUCUAGAGCAAUUUCUGUGUAGCUGAUAGAACUUCCUUAAGAACUAUGUGAAGAUGAGGUUUUCUGGAAAUCUUGUUUAUAACAAACUUGUAGUAACUUUCUCAUAUACUUUGUUUCCAAAUUACAUAACAUUUGGCUAAAUAGUUUAGGAGUAAUAGCUGUUACAAGUUGCUGCUACGAACUGCUUGCUCUCUAGAAUUUCAAGAGCAGAUCUGGGACAUUGCUUGUUUGACCUGUUUCUGUUGGGAAUCAACCUGUGAUGUCUAAAAGUAAGUCGUAAGAAAUUUGAUAAGCUUUCCAUAAAGUUCUUAUUCACUUAUUUUGACCAACAGAUGACCAAGUUAUGGCUGAAUCUUGUGACUACUAAUUCUAUCUAGUAGACCUACUGCCUCAAUGUGAUAGUAUAAGUUGAGUAGCUUGUAGGGUUAGCUUCUCUACCGGAGAGGAAGUAUGCACUUACUCCGUAAGCUAUUAAUACUUAAUCCUAAAAGCUCUUGGUCAUAUUUGCACCUUGUUACAUGCUUCAUUAGUCCCUCAUCAUGACAUGUUUGCAUUCUACAUGCAUUCUUUAUGUUCAUUACCUUGUCAUACAUAUCUAGGUGCACCGCAAGGCGUGAUGAUACUGGAGUUUGCCCCACCAGAACCAGAGGAGCAGUAGAAGCAUCCACCUCAGGAGGGAGGAGCCGAGGAAGAAGACUUGCCGGAGUGCCCUAACCACCAGCCUACCACGUUCAUCAAAGGCAAUCCCCAGAGCAUUGUAGGCCUCCUAAUAUUUUUGUUAUCAGGCUCCAGAGUCAAAUACUUAUGGUUAUAUAUUGAUGCAUUAAGUGUCAGGCUUUGAUAUGACACCCUUUCUGCAUAAUGACUACCUUGUCCACCUUAAUACCGACCUUGAGUAGGUCCAAGAUCAAAGUACUGCAUAGCCAUGCUUAGUCCGGUAGAAGCCGGGUGUUCUCCUAUCAAUUGUGAGAGAUAGGUGGAUAACUAAUCAUGGUUAACUAUAUUUGCUAUCGUGGAGAUAACCAUGUCUUAUUGAUAAAUGGAGAAC
This 6322-nucleotide long non-coding RNA is filed under the name Sorghum bicolor (sorghum). RNAcentral's name for it is "long non-coding RNA (SBIC_LNC016153)". Lineage: Eukaryota; Viridiplantae; Streptophyta; Magnoliopsida; Poales; Poaceae. The record is from RNAcentral.